GAGGCGUGGCUUCCGGAGCUAACGCGUUAAGUCGACCGCCUGGGGAGUACGGCCGCAAGGUUAAAACUCAAAUGAAUUGACGGGGGCCCGCACAAGCGGUGGAGCAUGUGGUUUAAUUCGAUGCAACGCGAAGAACCUUACCUACUCUUGACAUCCAGAGAACUUAGCAGAGAUGCUUUGGUGCCUUCGGGAACUCUGAGACAGGUGCUGCAUGGCUGUCGUCAGCUCGUGUUGUGAAAUGUUGGGUUAAGUCCCGCAACGAGCGCAACCCUUAUCCUUUGUUGCCAGCGGUUCGGCCGGGAACUCAAAGGAGACUGCCAGUGAUAAACUGGAGGAAGGUGGGGAUGACGUCAAGUCAUCAUGGCCCUUACGAGUAGGGCUACACACGUGCUACAAUGGCAUAUACAAAGAGAAGCGACCUCGCGAGAGCAAGCGGACCUCAUAAAGUAUGUCGUAGUCCGGAUUGGAGUCUGCAACUCGACUCCAUGAAGUCGGAAUCGCUAGUAAUCGUAGAUCAGAAUGCUACGGUGAAUACGUUCCCGGGCCUUGUACACACCGCCCGUCACACCAUGGGAGUGGGUUGCAAAAGAAGUAGGUAGCUUAACCUUCGGGAGGGCG
This 618-nucleotide ribosomal RNA is filed under the name Klebsiella aerogenes. RNAcentral's name for it is "bacterial SSU rRNA". It matches the Rfam family "Bacterial small subunit ribosomal RNA", at positions 834 to 1452 of the family's 1533-position model. Lineage: Bacteria; Pseudomonadati; Pseudomonadota; Gammaproteobacteria; Enterobacterales; Enterobacteriaceae. The record is from RNAcentral.